UGGGGAAUAUUGCACAAUGGGGGAAACCCUGAUGCAGCGACGCCGCGUGAGCGAAGAAGGCUUUCGAGUCGUAAAGCUCUGUCCUAUGAGAAGAUAAUGACGGUAUCAUAGGAGGAAGCCCUGGCUAAAUACGUGCCAGCAGCCGCGGUAAUACGUAUGUCACAAGCGUUAUCCGGAUUUAUUGGGCGUAAAGCGCGUCUAGGUGGUUAUGUAAGUCUGAUGUGAAAAUGCAGGGCUCAACUCUGUAUUGCGUUGGAAACUGUAUAACUAGAGUACUGGAGAGGUAAGCGUAACUACAAGUGUAGAGGUGAAAUUCGUAGAUAUUUGUAGGAAUGCCGAUGGGGAAGCCAGCUUACUGGACAGAUACUGACGCUGAAGCGCGAAAGCGUGGGUAGCAAACAGG
Molecule: ribosomal RNA, 403 nt
Filed under: Verrucomicrobiota bacterium
Lineage: Bacteria; Pseudomonadati; Verrucomicrobiota
Description: Verrucomicrobia bacterium partial 16S ribosomal RNA
Rfam family: Bacterial small subunit ribosomal RNA
Source: RNAcentral